AUGGCUGGCGGCGUUGACCGCCUGUCCGACCUCCCCGACGAGCUCCUCCUGCGCGUCCUCCACUUCGUCCCAGGCAAGCAGGCCGCCGCCACGACCGCGCUCUCGCGGCGAUGGCGCUCGCCGCUCUGGCGGUCCUCAGGCGCCGUAAACCUAGAGACGUAUGUCGAGGACUGGGGCUACUACACGCACAUAUUCAACGAUAGUGGUGGAGAAUGGGACGACCGCCUCUUCUUGUCCCGGCGCGACGCCUUCGUGUCCGCGGCCGAGGCGGCGCUCGACGCCGCCGACGUCCCCGUCACGAGGCUCACCCUUCGUGUCACCGGCCACAACUGCAUCGACUUGUUCCUGAACGGUCACUGGGAUGUGAAUUUGCCGUCGCCCUGGUCUCCGCACCAGGGCGCGCUCGCCAAACUGCUCUCCCACCGGGCGGCGCGCCGCGUCGAGGAGCUCCGGCUCGACGUAUACAACGUCUACUCGGACGACCAGACCAGUAGUCUCAGCUCCCUCGGCCUCGACGUGCUCAACCUAGGCUCCGUGCAGUCUGAGAACCUCCGCGUGCUGGACCUCACCAACUGCCGCGAACUCGUUCCGCCGGCCUCCGCGGUUGUGUUCCCGCGCCUUUCGUCGCUGCGGCUGCACCAUGGCACCGUCCGGCUCGACGCCCUCCAGAGCCUCAUCUACGCUGCGCCUGCGCUCAUCACCGUCCACUUUGAGUCCCUCAUCAUCUCACCACCAACAGAUGGUGUGCCGGACUAUAGUUUGCCCAAUCAGUCGAUCUACCGCCAGUGGAAAGCCUACGCUCCACCUCUGCCGCCCGCACAAGCCCUGCUCCGUCUCCCUGUGGUCACCAUGCUCGUCCUGGAUGGGUGCAACUGGAAGGACAAGGAUGUCUCACGACGAGACUACAUAGCGGACAAGGCCGGCGUUGUCCCCGUGGAGAUCCACGCGCCGAGGCUACGUUGGUUCAGUUAUAAGGGGCUUCUCCGGCCGUUCUCACUAAGCCCGCUGCCGCCGGACUUGGCACAUGCCGACCUGCAUUUUGUCCCGCGCGCCCGCGAUGAUAGAGUGAACAAAACACUGCCCGAACACAAGGAAACCAACGAGGAUCCAUGCCGCGGCGAGGCCAGCCUCAAGACCUUUUGGCGAUUCCUUCACAACUUCACGAGCGUCAAGGAGCUGAAGCUAAACGUAAACCAUCUCGAGGACAUGGCUGUGCUCACCGAGGCAAGGAGGGCCGAGCUCCUACCCACAUUCUCCAUCCUCAAGCGCCUUGACCUGCACAGAGUGCAUAUGCCACAAGGUAAGACGGCGACAGUGGCAAUCGCAGACCUGCUCCGCUGCUGCCCCACACUCCGCAGCCUCCGGAUCAACCACACCGCGGUGCACCAGUGCACCACUACGCCAUGGUUGUUGAAGAAAUGUUUAUUGAUGGAGGAAACACGAAGUUGUGGGAGCACAUGA
RNAcentral lists this ribosomal RNA (1461 nucleotides) under Triticum aestivum (bread wheat). Its description in RNAcentral is "partial small subunit ribosomal RNA". The record is from RNAcentral. Lineage: Eukaryota; Viridiplantae; Streptophyta; Magnoliopsida; Poales; Poaceae.